GGAGGAAGGUGGGGAUGACGUCAAGUCAUCAUGGCCCUUACGACCAGGGCUACACACGUGCUACAAUGGCGCAUACAAAGAGAAGCGACCUCGCGAGAGCAAGCGGACCUCAUAAAGUGCGUCGUAGUCCGGAUUGGAGUCUGCAACUCGACUCCAUGAAGUCGGAAUCGCUAGUAAUCGUGGAUCAGAAUGCCACGGUGAAUACGUUCCCGGGCCUUGUACACACCGCCCGUCACACCAUGGGAGUGGGUUGCAAAAGAAGUAGGUAGCUUAACCUUCGGGAGGGCGCUUACCACUUUGUGAUUCAUGACUGGGGUGAAGUCGUAACAAGGUAACCG
RNAcentral lists this ribosomal RNA (338 nucleotides) under Salmonella enterica. Its description in RNAcentral is "bacterial SSU rRNA". It matches the Rfam family "Bacterial small subunit ribosomal RNA", at positions 1165 to 1502 of the family's 1533-position model. The record is from RNAcentral. Lineage: Bacteria; Pseudomonadati; Pseudomonadota; Gammaproteobacteria; Enterobacterales; Enterobacteriaceae.